This 563-nucleotide long non-coding RNA is filed under the name Cricetulus griseus (Chinese hamster). Its description in RNAcentral is "lncRNA (ENSCGRG00015042796.1)". Lineage: Eukaryota; Metazoa; Chordata; Mammalia; Rodentia; Cricetidae. The record is from RNAcentral.
AAAAUACUAAGCUGAAAGGUAUAGUGUAUAUACCGAGGACCUGGUGCAUAGCCAUGCAGACCCUGUGCUUGCUGCUUUCCUGCUUCAGUCUAUCUGCCUGCAGCUGUCAGAAAUGUGGCACAAAGUUAUAUGUUCAGAGCAAACUACCAGAUGUGGUCAAGAGACAAACCAAUAAGACCCUUCCUGAUCAUCAUCCAGUUGGUGUCAUGUCUCCCUCUCAAAACAAAACAGACAACAACAAAAACAAACAAAUAAAAGCAACAGCCAUGGAGUCUAGUUUGUGUUGGCUCACUAAUCCUGAGCAUGAGGCCUACCCUGGAGUGUGGUACGUGUACCAGAGAUCAGUACUUCAAAGAAAACAACUGAUUUUCCCUCUUCCAGAAGCAAUCAAAUGUCAAUACCUCCUUAGCUAGGGUUAGGAGAGAAAAGCAGCAAGCGAUGGGAGAAUUACAGGGAAGAGUUUCAGAGCAAUUGGAAUAAGAAGAUAAUAGAGGUACACAAAUCGAUAAGUAGUUUGUCCAAUAUUUGCCAAAGGAUGUUCUGAAAAUAAUGUGUUAUUAUUG